Molecule: non-coding RNA, 112 nt
Filed under: Brenneria sp. hezel4-2-4
Lineage: Bacteria; Pseudomonadati; Pseudomonadota; Gammaproteobacteria; Enterobacterales; Pectobacteriaceae
Also listed under: 3 other names
Description: antisense sRNA RprA
Rfam family: RprA RNA
About the family: Translational regulation of the stationary phase sigma factor RpoS is mediated by the formation of a double-stranded RNA stem-loop structure in the upstream region of the rpoS messenger RNA, occluding the translation initiation site. Clones carrying rprA (RpoS regulator RNA A) increased the translation of RpoS.
Source: RNAcentral
UCGGAGCUAGUUUUAACCUACUGUUUGUCAAUGAGGUUUCCUCCUCGUCAGAGUUAGUAACGAAUUGCUGUGUGUAGUCUUUGCCCAUCCCAUGAGAUGGGCUUUUUUUUUA